AGUUUAGUUAGUGUUUUGUUUGUUGGAGGAGUUCAGAUGUCAUUCAUAAAAGAGCAAUUAGAGGAUUAGAGCAUGUGUUUAGUGUUUGUUAACCAAACUCUUUCGUAACUAUCUUCCUUUUUUGUUUACAGUUUUGUUUUAUAUCUUGGUGUUCAAUAACACACCGGUACCGGUAAAUUUAAUUUUAAAAUAUAAUUAAUAGUGAUUCUUUUCAACCUGCAUAGGGUUAGGCCUAACCAAAAUGUUUAACACUCUUAAAAAAAUUUGGCAAUUUUUAAACUAUUGGUAUUUUAGAUACUUGAUGGUUACAGAAUUGUAUAUGGUUGAACGGUGGGAAAGAGCUGUUGUUAAUACAACCAUUGUAAUACUGUGCCUUAUCCUCUCUUACAUUAACUAUGUGGUUUUGUCUUAUACUUCGUCACUUCAGUGGUUCCCUACCUUUUGGUCAUCAUCUACCAUUUCAUGAUCACAAGUAUCACUCCAGAAUUUCUGGGCCUUAAAGUGAGAAGCAUUUCUUCUGAGACAUUU
This is a long non-coding RNA of Macrosteles quadrilineatus (aster leafhopper), 528 nucleotides long. RefSeq lists it as uncharacterized. The record is from RefSeq and is a predicted model, not a curated record. Lineage: Eukaryota; Metazoa; Arthropoda; Insecta; Hemiptera; Cicadellidae. The transcript is spliced from 3 exons.